This 497-nucleotide ribosomal RNA is filed under the name uncultured bacterium. RNAcentral describes it as "partial 16S ribosomal RNA". It matches the Rfam family "Bacterial small subunit ribosomal RNA", at positions 30 to 523 of the family's 1533-position model. The record is from RNAcentral.
AUUGAACGCUGGCGGCAUGCCUUACACAUGCAAGUCGAACGGUAACAGGUCUUCGGAUGCUGACGAGUGGCGAACGGGUGAGUAAUACAUCGGAACGUGCCUAGUAGUGGGGGAUAACUACUCGAAAGAGUGGCUAUUCCGCAUGAGAUCUACGGAUGAAAGCAGGGGAUCGCAAGAACUUGUGCUACUAGAGCGGCCGAUGGCCGGUUAGGGAGUUGGUGGGAUAAAAGCUUACCAAGGCGACGAUCUGUAGCUGGUUUGAGAGGACGAUCAGCCACACUGGGACUGAGACACGGCCCAGACUCCUACGGGAGGCAGCGGUGGGGAAUUUUGGACAAUGGGCGCAAGCCUGAUCCAGCAAUGCCGCGUGCAGGAUGAAGGCCUUCGGGUUGUAAACUGCUUUUGUACGGAACGAAAAGCCCCGGGUUAAUACCCUGGGGUCAUGACGGUACCGUAAGAAUAAGCACCGGCUAACUACGUGCCAGCCGCCGCCGUAA